UUACCAACUGGUUCUACUGUAUGC
RNAcentral lists this non-coding RNA (24 nucleotides) under Arabidopsis thaliana (thale cress). The record is from RNAcentral. Lineage: Eukaryota; Viridiplantae; Streptophyta; Magnoliopsida; Brassicales; Brassicaceae.